GGCAAUUUUUAAUAAAUAUUACUUAAUGGAUAUUAUAUUAAGAUAUGUUUAUGAAGUCAUGAAAACUUUCGAAUAAGAAAAAAAUUCAAUUCGUUUAGGGGAAUCUCUAUGAUAUAAAAAUAUAGAUAGUAUGAUGCGUUUUUCCGUUUUAAAGAUCACAAAAACAUUGUUACGGAUAUAAUUAAAAAUAGAUGAGAUUUAUUUAUUUCAUUGAUAGCAUUACGUACUAUACCGAGUUAACGCCUAGGUUUAUAGGUACUGCGUAUUAAUCUCUUCCAUGAAUUUAUACGUUACUUUAUUUAUUGUAUAAAUUAAUUCUAUCAUGAUGAUAAUGCAAUAUUUACAUGCUAUGAAUCGAAAUAAAUAGCAGAUGCAACAAGUGAGAUAACAGGAAAUGCAACAAGUGAUAAAAAACGAUGGAUAUAGUAUAAUUAUUACGUAAUAUAUAUAUGAUUUUUUGAAGAUUCAGAAAUUAUCAUUGUGGAAGAUAAAACCUUAUGAUAAGAAUCAGGAGCAUUAUUGAUUGAUAAGUAUUGAUUGUAUAUGACGACAUAUUGUCUUAUUUUAUCAAUUUGAAAUUCCCUCCAUUUGUUGUAGAGAAAUGGGGAAGCAGUCUGCUCGUUGGAAUCAUUCGCUGUCGAGAAGCAGUAACUCUUGGAACAAUGAAGGAAGAGGGAGGAAGCAUGCUCAUUGGAAUCACUUGUUUUCGAGAAGCAGAAAUCGUUUGAAUACGCGAACAACUAGUUAUUAGUCUUUAUUUUAAAUAUAUAUUUCUUAAUACUCCGUAAACGAUUAUGUAAUAUUCGAAAUAUUUAUACAAAAUUGAAUGUUCGAAGAAAUACAUUUUCAUAAUAAAUAAAGACGAGGUGUGUAUGAAAAGAAGAAAGACGAGAGAGAGGGAAGAAAUAGAAAGAAAAAGGAGGAAGAGGAAGAAAACAAUAGGUUUGUAUUUUCUUUUUUGUUUACAUUCAACGGUCUAUCGUAUACAAGAACAGGAUUUAGCUUCAGUAAGUAGUGUACACGUAACGAGUGAGGAAGGUGGACAGAUAUGAGACGUAAUACGACAAAUUCUGCUUCGCCAAAAAGAAGAAAAUAUCACGUAGCAAGGAUAUUCUGCAGUAUAUACGCAAGUAUUUAUUUAUUACAUUUAUAUUAAAA
Molecule: long non-coding RNA, 1158 nt
Organism: Vespula pensylvanica (western yellowjacket)
Lineage: Eukaryota; Metazoa; Arthropoda; Insecta; Hymenoptera; Vespidae
Exons: 3
Source: RefSeq, a predicted model, not a curated record